UAUUACAUGUUUGAUACCAGUAUGUAUCAUCCUAGUAGGAAAACCGGUACACUGUCCAGUACGGUAUUUAGAACCUUAGUUAGAAACAAAAAGCUUGUUAGUAAUAUGGUCCUAUGAUGCUAAUUGCUGGCUAAAUCAAUUUCAAACUUGACGGCACGCCAACUCCAGGUUGAAUGAUGUCCUCAAAUGUCAAGCUCAUCUUCUCCCCGCCUAAUAAAGGGACUGAAAUUGUGCAACCAGUUAGAGAUUUUACAAGAGGUACUUCUAUUGCCAGCUCUAAAUCGUCGCCAUCUCUCCGAAACAAGGGGUGCCUUUUUUCUGCAAUCACGAAGAUUAUGUCAGCCCGAUCAAUUCCCGGUGUCUCCUUCCCCAAUCCUUCGAAUGUGAUUUUCGUUCCUUUCCUCCAUCCUGGCUUCACUUUGAUGGUUAGCGUUUCCUCCUCUUCUACUAUUUU
Long non-coding RNA from Rhododendron vialii, 454 nucleotides. RefSeq lists it as uncharacterized. Lineage: Eukaryota; Viridiplantae; Streptophyta; Magnoliopsida; Ericales; Ericaceae. The record is from RefSeq and is a predicted model, not a curated record. The transcript has 2 exons.